Molecule: long non-coding RNA, 366 nt
Organism: Sitodiplosis mosellana (orange wheat blossom midge)
Lineage: Eukaryota; Metazoa; Arthropoda; Insecta; Diptera; Cecidomyiidae
Exons: 2
Source: RefSeq, a predicted model, not a curated record
UGCAAGCAUUACGUGAGCGAAGAUUUUUACUUUCAAUUGUUUUCACAAUAUCAAAACAUUUCAAGUGAUUUGUUGGGUCACCACACCCUCGUGCACAUAUGGAUUUCAAACGUUUGAAUCAGCUAUUCUGUUGCUGCAUCUAUUGCAAUUUGCAAUUUCACAGAAAUUUCCUUCUCCGUUAUUUUUUUCAAGCUACAAAAAUGGUGUGUUGUGUGCUGUCAAUUGCGCUAACAAUAUAAGAAAAACAUAUAAACGAUUCACCCGGUUUUCUCAAAACAGCACACAUAUUGAUAAACCGAUGUGGUGUGAGCGGCAGACACGAAAACUGCAUUUUCACAAUUAUCAGACAAAUAUUAAGCAAACACA